This 344-nucleotide small RNA is filed under the name Pongo abelii (Sumatran orangutan). RNAcentral's name for it is "sense intronic". Lineage: Eukaryota; Metazoa; Chordata; Mammalia; Primates; Hominidae. The record is from RNAcentral.
UCUUUUACAAAGCUAUAAGAUAUUUAUGUACCCAUUUUGUAAUUCUCCACUUAAACUGACAUGUUUGAUGAACUUGGCAGUCUAACUGCAUUGGUUAAAAGGAUGCACAUUUAUAUUUCUAAAUGAAAUGGAAUACUGAAUUUAAAAGGUGAUGUUUUCUCUAUUAAGUAUGAAAAUCGAUACAAACCUGGCCGGGCACGGUGGCUCACGCCUGUAAUCCCAGCGCUUUGGGAGGCCAAGGCGGGUGGAUCACAAGGUCAGGAGAUCGAGACCAUCCUGGCUAACAUGGUGAAACCCUGUCUCUACUAAAAAUACAAAAAAUUAGCCAGGCAUGGUGGCGGGCA